Molecule: unclassified non-coding RNA, 335 nt
Filed under: soil metagenome
Description: partial contains 5.8S ribosomal RNA, internal transcribed spacer 2, and large subunit ribosomal RNA
Rfam family: 5.8S ribosomal RNA (bases 1-120)
Source: RNAcentral
GAUGAAGAACGCAUCGAAAUGCGAUAAGUAGUGUGAAUUGCAGAAUUCAGUGAAUCAUCGAAUCUUUGAACGCACAUUGCGCCCUUUGGUAUUCAUUAGGGCAUGCCUGUUCGAGCGUCAUCUAAACCCUCAAGCGCUGCUUGGUGUUGGGUGCCUGUCCCGCCCCCGCGCGUGGACUCACCUCAAAUCCAUUGGCGGCCCUCACGUCGGCUUCGAGCGCAGCAGAAACGCGAACUCGUGGCCCGGCGGAGCGGCUCCCAGAAGCUACUUUCACCAUUUUGACCUCGGAUCAGGUAGGGAUACCCGCUGAACUUAAGCAUAUCAUAAGCGGAGGA